Molecule: ribosomal RNA, 301 nt
Filed under: uncultured bacterium
Lineage: Bacteria
Description: partial 16S ribosomal RNA
Rfam family: Bacterial small subunit ribosomal RNA
Source: RNAcentral
CAGUAGCCGCGGUAAUACGUAGGGUGCAAGCGUUAAUCGGAAUUACUGGGCGUAAAGCGUGCGCAGGCGGUUUGUUAAGACAGAUGUGAAAUCCCCGGGCUCAACCUGGGAACUGCAUUUGUGACUGGCAAGCUAGAGUGUGGCAGAGGGGGGUGGAAUUCCGCGUGUAGCAGUGAAAUGCGUAGAUAUGCGGAGGAACACCGAUGGCGAAGGCAGCCCCCUGGGCCAACACUGACGCUCAUGCACGAAAGCGUGGGGAGCAAACAGGAUUAGAUACCCGCGUAGUCCCUGUAUCUUAUAC